GACGAACGCUGGCGGCGUGCGUAACACAUGCGCGUCGAACGGAAAGGCCCUGCUUUUGUGGGGUGCUCGAGUGGCGAACGGGUGAGUAACACGUGAGUAACCUGCCCUUGACUUUGGGAUAACUUCAGGAAACUGGGGCUAAUACCGGAUAGGAGCUCCUGCUGCAUGGUGGGGGUUGGAAAGUUUCGGCGGUUGGGGAUGGACUCGCGGCUUAUCAGCUUGUUGGUGGGGUAGUGGCUUACCAAGGCUUUGACGGGUAGCCGGCCUGAGAGGGUGACCGGCCACAUUGGGACUGAGAUACGGCCCAGACUCCUACGGGAGGCAGCAGUGGGGAAUAUUGCACAAUGGGCGGAAGCCUGAUGCAGCAACGCCGCGUGCGGGAUGACGGCCUUCGGGUUGUAAACCGCUUUCGCCUGUGACGAAGCGUGAGUGACGGUAAUGGGUAAAGAAGCACCGGCUAACUACGUG
This 468-nucleotide ribosomal RNA is filed under the name uncultured bacterium. Its description in RNAcentral is "partial 16S ribosomal RNA". It matches the Rfam family "Bacterial small subunit ribosomal RNA", at positions 28 to 507 of the family's 1533-position model. The record is from RNAcentral.